UACGUAGGGGGGCUAGCGUUGUCCGGAAUCAUUGGGCGUAAAGAGCGUGUAGGCGGCCCGGUAAGUCCGCUGUGAAAGUCGGGGGCUCAACCCUCGAAUGCCGGUGGAUACUGUCGGGCUAGAGUGCGGAAGAGGCGAGUGGAAUUCCUGGUGUAGCGGUGAAAUGCGCAGAUAUCAGGAGGAACACCGAUUGCGAAGGCAGCUCGCUGGGACGUUACUGACGCUGAGACGCGAAAGCGUGGGGAGCAAACAGG
RNAcentral lists this ribosomal RNA (254 nucleotides) under uncultured bacterium. Its description in RNAcentral is "partial 16S ribosomal RNA". It matches the Rfam family "Bacterial small subunit ribosomal RNA", at positions 524 to 776 of the family's 1533-position model. The record is from RNAcentral.